AGGGCUGACUGAGAGGCAGGAGUUGACACCUGGUCUCUCAAGGCCCCCAUCUGGCUGUGUGACCAUGGGUUCAACUUGGGAGUCAUGGUAGAUAGACAUUGCUACUUGGACCCACCUCAUCCUCCAAACUCUGGGAGAGCACCUGGCCCUUUGUCAGCAAUGAGAAAGAUGCAUUCUGGAAGGAGAACUCCCUUGUUUGAGAGCUUUGGCAAUCCUAAAUGAACAAAAAUGCAGCAUUUAAAAACAGGUCAUCUGGUGUUUCAGGUCUUAUCUGUUGCCCAGUUGGUCUGAGAAUGUGGCCCGCAGGACAGCUUAAAUGACCUAUGAUCAAGUAAU
This is a long non-coding RNA of Callorhinus ursinus (northern fur seal), 336 nucleotides long. RefSeq lists it as uncharacterized. The record is from RefSeq and is a predicted model, not a curated record. Lineage: Eukaryota; Metazoa; Chordata; Mammalia; Carnivora; Otariidae.